Molecule: ribosomal RNA, 497 nt
Filed under: uncultured bacterium
Lineage: Bacteria
Description: partial 16S ribosomal RNA
Rfam family: Bacterial small subunit ribosomal RNA
Source: RNAcentral
GAUGAACGCUGGCGGCGUGCCUAAUACAUGCAAGUCGAGCGAACAGAUGAGGAGCUUGCUCCUCUGACGUUAGCGGCGGACGGGUGAGUAACACGUGGAUAACCUACCUAUAAGACUGGGAUAACUUCGGGAAACCGGAGCUAAUACCGGAUAAUAUAUUGAACCGCAUGGUUCAAUAGUGAAAGACGGUUUUGCUGUCACUUAUAGAUGGAUCCGCGCCGCAUUAGCUAGUUGGUAAGGUAACGGCUUACCAAGGCAACGAUGCGUAGCCGACCUGAGAGGGUGAUCGGCCACACUGGAACUGAGACACGGUCCAGACUCCUACGGGAGGCAGCAAUAGGGAAUCUUCCGCAAUGGGCGAAAGCCUGACGGAGCAACGCCGCGUGAGUGAUGAAGGUCUUCGGAUCGUAAAACUCUGUUAUUAGGGAAGAACAAAUGUGUAAGUAACUAUGCACGCCUUGACGGUACCUAAUCAGAAAGCCACGGCUAACUACGUG